CCGUAGCACAAUGGAUAGCGCGUUGGACUUCAAGUCCAGAGGUCGUGGAUUCGAAUCGCACCUUAAUUCCUGA
Non-coding RNA from Trichonephila clavipes, 73 nucleotides. The record is from the annotation of a GenBank genome assembly. NCBI's taxonomy places the organism in Eukaryota, Metazoa, Arthropoda, Arachnida, Araneae, Nephilidae.